RNAcentral lists this long non-coding RNA (374 nucleotides) under Homo sapiens (human). RNAcentral's name for it is "non-protein coding lnc-GLB1L2-1:11". The record is from RNAcentral. Lineage: Eukaryota; Metazoa; Chordata; Mammalia; Primates; Hominidae.
GCAGCAGAAGUUGCAGAGAAGAGUGAGGCACGUUUGAAAAAGGCUGAAAAAUGUUUCUGUCCAGGCAAGGGUGUGUGCUGAAUGACUCAAGGAUUUUUUGGUGCAUUGAAUGAACAGCGGGACAUUGGACACCUGCUGAUCCAUCACCCCGGGCCCGGGCAGGCCCGUGGAUGAAGAGAGAUGGAGAAGACCAGGCAUGAGACUGUGGAGAAGCCACACCACCAGAAACCCCUGCCCCAUGCGCCGUCCAGCCCACACCUGUGGAUGCACGGGGGAUUGCAGGCAGGGCUCCCACCGUGGACUCAGGAACAGGCAGGGAAGCUGCUGCCUCACCAGGCGAAGGGGCCAGGAGGGGGAGGCGGAGAGGCCCGUCU